This 596-nucleotide ribosomal RNA is filed under the name Musa acuminata (dwarf banana). RNAcentral's name for it is "eukaryotic LSU rRNA". It matches the Rfam family "Eukaryotic large subunit ribosomal RNA", at positions 2879 to 3401 of the family's 3401-position model. The record is from RNAcentral. Lineage: Eukaryota; Viridiplantae; Streptophyta; Magnoliopsida; Zingiberales; Musaceae.
CGAUGUCGGCUCUUCCUAUCAUUGUGAACGAGAAUUCACCAAGUGUUGGAUUGUCACACCACCAAAUAGGGACACGUGAACCUGGGUUUAGACCCGCCGUGAGACAAGGUUAAGUUUUACACCCUACCUGAUGAUCGUGCCGCCGAUAGUAGAUUCAACCCUAAGUACCGACGAGGGACCGUUGAUUCCACACCAAAUUGGUCAUCCGCGCUUGGUUGAAAAAGCCAGUGGCGCGAACGUACCCGUGUGUCGGAUUAUGACUGAACGCCUCUAGAGUCAGAAUCCUAGCUAGCGACCGGCGCUCUCGCCCGUCGUUCGCCUCCCCGACCCACAGUAGGGGCCUUCGGCCCCCAUGGGGCUCGUGUCGCCGGUUGUAGCCCCCGUGGUGGUAUAGCCACGGGUGGCCAUCGGGAAGUGAAAUUCCGCACGGACGACGGGCCGAAUCCUUUGCAGACGACUUAAUACGCGUAGGGGCAUUGUAAGUGGUAGAGUGCCUUGCUGCCACGAUCCACUGAGAUCCAGCCCUGCGUCGCACGGAUUCGUCCCCCCCCCCAAAUUCACUGUCCCUCCACGCUGACGAGGUUGAAAGCGACAGU